GCCAAGAAGGCAGAGUUUAUGAUUCCAGCAGUUGCUUCAGGAUUACUGUGUGGAGAAGGACUAUGGACUCUUCCUGCUGCUAUACUUGCUUUGGCCAAAAUAAAUCCACCAAUCUGCAUGAAAUUUGUACCUUCCUAGUNNNNNNNNNACCUAUUGAAAAUAAAGAUUCAUGGCAAGGCAAUCCAUGAUUCAGGAUUUGAGUAGAAAUGUACUCUUGCACUGCAACCCAUUAGCAUGCCCUUUUAGUUGCAACUUAAAACAGUUACUGUAGAUGAGUUUUAAAUAGCUCAAUGAUAUUAAAGUCAUUUUUAAGAAAAAAAAAAA
Molecule: unclassified non-coding RNA, 324 nt
Filed under: Hevea brasiliensis (rubber tree)
Lineage: Eukaryota; Viridiplantae; Streptophyta; Magnoliopsida; Malpighiales; Euphorbiaceae
Source: RNAcentral